Molecule: ribosomal RNA, 465 nt
Filed under: Vreelandella stevensii
Lineage: Bacteria; Pseudomonadati; Pseudomonadota; Gammaproteobacteria; Oceanospirillales; Halomonadaceae
Description: partial 16S ribosomal RNA
Rfam family: Bacterial small subunit ribosomal RNA
Source: RNAcentral
CCUACGGGUGGCAGCAGUGGGGAAUAUUGGACAAUGGGCGGAAGCCUGAUCCAGCCAUGCCGCGUGUGUGAAGAAGGCCUUCGGGUUGUAAAGCACUUUCAGUGGGGAAGAAAGCCUUGGGGCUAAUACCCUCGAGGAAGGACAUCACCCACAGAAGAAGCACCGGCUAACUCCGUGCCAGCAGCCGCGGUAAUACGGAGGGUGCGAGCGUUAAUCGGAAUUACUGGGCGUAAAGCGCGCGUAGGCGGUCUGAUAAGCCGGUUGUGAAAGCCCCGGGCUCAACCUGGGAACGGCAUCCGGAACUGUCAGGCUAGAGUGCAGGAGAGGAAGGUAGAAUUCCCGGUGUAGCGGUGAAAUGCGUAGAGAUCGGGAGGAAUACCAGUGGCGAAGGCGGCCUUCUGGACUGACACUGACGCUGAGGUGCGAAAGCGUGGGUAGCAAACAGGAUUAGAUACCCCGGUAGUC